Long non-coding RNA from Medicago truncatula (barrel medic), 356 nucleotides. RefSeq lists it as uncharacterized. The transcript is spliced from 2 exons. NCBI's taxonomy places the organism in Eukaryota, Viridiplantae, Streptophyta, Magnoliopsida, Fabales, Fabaceae. The record is from RefSeq and is a predicted model, not a curated record.
GGUAUCAAGCUGGAUAUUCACCAUCAUUUGUAUAAGUGAAGGACAAGCUUAGUACAAUGAACAUAGAUGAACGUUAGAACAAAAAAGCAGUAGCAUAAACGACUCCCUGUUAGAGGCAAACAAUUGGGGUAUGCAUCUAAGGGUAUUAAAAACGACAUUCAUUUUGGUGUUGUAACUAUUUUUUAGAUUGUAUAGGUCUUGACUUACCAAUGUUACUUCAACAAGUUUGGUGGAAAUCUUGUUUGUACAUUUACUAUGGGCUAUACAUUAUAUAGAAUAUGAUAUGUGAAGCUUAAUUAAGAUGGUGUAAUUAAAUAAUUUAUUUUAUGAUGUUAAGAUAAAUUUUAUUGGACCAU